GACGAUCCGAGCGAACGUUGUUCGGAAUCACUGGGCUUAAAGGGCGCGUAGGCGGGCUGCCGCGUCCGGGGUGAAAUCCCACGGCUCAACCGUGGAACGGCCCCGGGUACGGGCGGCCUCGAGGGGGUAGGGGCGUGCGGAACUGUGGGUGGAGCGGUGAAAUGCGUUGAGAUCCACAGGAACUCCGGUGGCGAAGGCGGCACGCUGGACCCCUUCUGACGCUGAGGCGCGAAAGCCAGGGGAGCGAACGGGAGUUAGAAACCCCUG
Molecule: ribosomal RNA, 267 nt
Filed under: uncultured bacterium
Lineage: Bacteria
Description: partial 16S ribosomal RNA
Rfam family: Bacterial small subunit ribosomal RNA
Source: RNAcentral